RNAcentral lists this ribosomal RNA (496 nucleotides) under marine sediment bacterium ISA-1219. Its description in RNAcentral is "bacterial SSU rRNA". It matches the Rfam family "Bacterial small subunit ribosomal RNA", at positions 37 to 579 of the family's 1533-position model. The record is from RNAcentral.
UGGCGGCAUGCCUAACACAUGCAAGUCGAACGAACCCUUCGGGGUUAGUGGCGCACGGGUGCGUAACGCGUGGGAACCUGCCUUUAGGUUCGGAAUAACAGUUAGAAAUGACUGCUAAUACCGGAUGAUGUCUUCGGACCAAAGAUUUAUCGCCUUUAGAUGGGCCCGCGUUAGAUUAGAUAGUUGGUGGGGUAAUGGCCUACCAAGUCGACGAUCUAUAGCUGGUCUGAGAGGAUGAUCAGCCACACUGGGACUGAGACACGGCCCAGACUCCUACGGGAGGCAGCAGUGGGGAAUAUUGGACAAUGGGCGAAAGCCUGAUCCAGCAAUGCCGCGUGAGUGAUGAAGGCCUUAGGGUUGUAAAGCUCUUUUACCAGGGAUGAUAAUGACAGUACCUGGAGAAUAAGCUCCGGCUAACUCCGUGCCAGCAGCCGCGGUAAUACGGAGGGAGCUAGCGUUGUUCGGAAUUACUGGGCGUAAAGCGCGCGUAGGCGGC